AUAAGCGGAGGAAAAGAAACCAACAGGGAUUGCCUUAGUAACGGCGAGUGAAGCGGCAACAGCUCAAAUUUGAAAUCUGGCUCUUUCAGAGUCCGAGUUGUAAUUUGCAGAGGGCGCUUUGGCUUUGGCAGCGGUCCAAGUUCCUUGGAACAGGACGUCACAGAGGGUGAGAAUCCCGUACGUGGUCGCUAGCUAUUGCCGUGUAAAGCCCCUUCGACGAGUCGAGUUGUUUGGGAAUGCAGCUCUAAAUGGGAGGUAAAUUUCUUCUAAAGCUAAAUAUUGGCCAGAGACCGAUAGCGCACAAGUAGAGUGAUCGAAAGAUGAAAAGCACUUUGGAAAGAGAGUCAAACAGCACGUGAAAUUGUUGAAAGGGAAGCGCUUGCAGCCAGACUUGCUUGCAGUUGCUCAUCCGGGCUUUUGCCCGGUGCACUCUUCUGCAGGCAGGCCAGCAUCAGUUUGGGCGGUGGGAUAAAGGUCUCUGACACGUUCCUUCCUUCGGGUUGGCCAUAUAGGGGAGACGUCAUACCACCAGCCUGGACUGAGGUCCGCGCAUCUGCUAGGAUGCUGGCGUAAUGGCUGUAAGCGGCCCGUCUUGAAACACGGACCAAGGAGUCUAACAUCUAUGCGAGUGUUUGGGUGUCAAGCCCGAGCGCGUAAUGAAAGUGAACGGAGGUGGGAACCCGCAAGGGCGCACCAUCGACCGAUCCUGAAGUUUACGGAAGGAUUUGAGUAAGAGCAUGGCUGUUGGGACCCGAAAGAUGGUGAACUAUGCUUGAAUAGGGUGAAGCCAGAGGAAACUCUGGUGGAGGCUCGCAGCGGUUCUGACGUGCAAAUCGAUCGUCAAAUUUGGGCAUAGGGGCGAAAGACUAAUCGAACUAUCUAGUAGCUGGU
RNAcentral lists this ribosomal RNA (891 nucleotides) under Curvularia millisiae. Its description in RNAcentral is "partial large subunit ribosomal RNA". It matches the Rfam family "Eukaryotic large subunit ribosomal RNA", at positions 46 to 955 of the family's 3401-position model. The record is from RNAcentral. Lineage: Eukaryota; Fungi; Ascomycota; Dothideomycetes; Pleosporales; Pleosporaceae.